GAUGAACGCUGGCGGCGUGCCUAAUACAUGCAAGUCGAGCGAAUGGAUUAAGAGCUUGCUCUUAUGAAGUUAGCGGCGGACGGGUGAGUAACACGUGGGUAACCUGCCCAUAAGACUGGGAUAACUCCGGGAAACCGGGGCUAAUACCGGAUAAUAUUUUGAACUGCAUGGUUCAAAAUUGAAAGGCGGCCUCGGCUGUCACUUAUGGAUGGACCCGCGUCGCAUUAGCUAGUUGGUGAGGUAACGGCUCACCAAGGCAACGAUGCGUGGCCGACCUGAGAGGGUGAUCGGCCACACUGGGACUGAGACACGGCCCAGACUCCUACGGGAGGCAGCAGUAGGGAAUCUUCCGCAAUGGACGAAAGUCUGACGGAGCAACGCCGCGUGAGUGAUGAAGGCUUUCGGGUCGUAAAACUCUGUUGUUAGGGAAGAACAAGUGCUAGCUGAAUAAGCUGGCACCUUGACGGUACCUAACCAGAAAGCCACGGCUAACUACGUGCCAGCCGCCGCCGUAA
This 515-nucleotide ribosomal RNA is filed under the name uncultured bacterium. RNAcentral describes it as "partial 16S ribosomal RNA". It matches the Rfam family "Bacterial small subunit ribosomal RNA", at positions 28 to 523 of the family's 1533-position model. The record is from RNAcentral.